This 406-nucleotide ribosomal RNA is filed under the name uncultured bacterium. RNAcentral's name for it is "partial 16S ribosomal RNA". It matches the Rfam family "Bacterial small subunit ribosomal RNA", at positions 30 to 526 of the family's 1533-position model. The record is from RNAcentral.
AUUGAACGCUGGCGGCAGGCCUAACACAUGCAAGUCGAGCGAGUGGCGGACGGGUGAGUAAUGUAUGGGGAUCUGCCUGAUGGAGGGGGAUAACUACUGGAAACGGUGGCUAAUACCGCAUACUAUCAGAUGUGCCCAGAUGGGAUUAGCUUGUUGGUGGGGUAACGGCUCACCAAGGCGACGAUCCCUAGCUGGUCUGAGAGGAUGACCAGCCACACUGGAACUGAGACACGGUCCAGACGCCUACGGGAGGCAGCAGUGGGGAAUAUUGCACAAUGGGCGCAAGCCUGAUGCAGCCAUGCCGCGUGUAUGAAGAAGGCCUUCGGGUUGUAAAGUACUUUCAGCGGGGAGGCGUUACCCGCAGAAGAAGCACCGGCUAACUCCGUGCCAGCAGCCGCGGUAAUUC